Molecule: unclassified non-coding RNA, 219 nt
Filed under: Hevea brasiliensis (rubber tree)
Lineage: Eukaryota; Viridiplantae; Streptophyta; Magnoliopsida; Malpighiales; Euphorbiaceae
Source: RNAcentral
UACUUUGUAACAGAGGAUCCUAUCCCUCCAGGUUCGCUGUUGUAUCGUUUCAUCAAUGACGAUGACUCUUUUAGGAACCAGCGGUUCAAGAUCGUGAACCGGAUCGUGAAAGGACCGUGGAUCGUGAAGACAGCGGUAGGGAACUAUAGUGCUUGUUUGUUAGGUAAAGCCUUAACAUGUAAUUAUCAUAGAGGAGCCAAUUAUUUGGAGAUUGAUGUG